Molecule: non-coding RNA, 124 nt
Organism: Pogona vitticeps (central bearded dragon)
Lineage: Eukaryota; Metazoa; Chordata; Lepidosauria; Squamata; Agamidae
Source: RefSeq, a predicted model, not a curated record
GCCAUCGAUGUCGGCUUGUUCGUCAGGAAGAAACCUUGCCAAGUGCUUCUGGUAGGAGCUGCGGCUCUCCACGCUGCCCAUCUUUUCCAGCAGACGGUGGAAUCCUAGGCUUCUGCUGCUUUUG